Molecule: long non-coding RNA, 4653 nt
Organism: Paramisgurnus dabryanus
Lineage: Eukaryota; Metazoa; Chordata; Actinopteri; Cypriniformes; Cobitidae
Source: RefSeq, a predicted model, not a curated record
UUUAAUUCAGAACUAUAUCUUUGGUGAACAUGGUAUUCAGAUUCAAAUGUGUUUUGCAAGUAUGUAUGUCUCAUGCUUGUAAGCUGAAGACUAGCAGUCUUAAAGACUGCAAUGUAUGCAGUGUUUAAAAUAUGGUAACUGAGAGCAGAGCUAAAAAUGCAUAGGCUGACAUUUGGAAGGAAUGAAGUUACCACACCUGUCAAACAUAAAAACAUGCUAAAAACAACUACAUGGGAGGGGUUUCAACUUUUAGAGAACUGUAUAAUAGGUUGCAUUCUGAAAAAAACUCUUUAGUUGCCUGGCCACCAACUCGGCCUUAUUGUUGUAUGCAAUAAAGUCAUCUUUUGGCAAUGGAACCCUCUGUUGAAAAUUAUUUUUCAUAAUCACUAAAAAAAUCCACAACAUUUGGCGACGAGGAUGGGAUUGGAAAGGAGCAUGGGGGUGGAUGACCGCUGUGGGCUAAGUUUGGAUGAGCGGCAUACACAGGACCAGGUAAGCAGUUUUUGCUUAUUUACUGGUGUACUGUUGUGUUGCUCAUCUGGGUUGGCUCAUGGUGGAAAGACGUUCACAAUGCUCUUCCAACAUAAGAACUAAGAUUAAUACAAGUUAAAAAGGGUUCCAUUUCCAAGGAUUUUGAUGCAUGGUGUGAUAUUUUUAUGAUGAAGAAGGGAUUAAAACAGCCUGAGCUCAAGGUGUAAUCUGUGGUUUUGCUAAGUAAGCCUUGUUUUAGCAUUAACCUGGAACAGAUUGAUAAAUUGCUAAGGGGCAAUAAAAAGUUAAAUUGCUGAGGGGCAAUGAAAUAUAUAAUCUGUGUUUAUUUAAACAUAAAAGGCCUUUGACGAAGGGCCUUUGACGAAUCAAAUAGACUGUAACAGAUUAUAAAAAAUGCUUAUUGCAAGAGGGCUAUUGAUUAGAUGUAAUAAGCUGAUACACUGUAAAUGAAUAAUUUGUAUAAAGAAAAAGUAACGUGGUUUUGGAAGCAAAUCCAUGUUUCAAUUUGUUAUUUUAAGUAUUUAAGCAUAUGUUGAUUUGUCAUCAAUACUGCAUUUUAUUUACAGUGUAUGAAAAAAAUAAGAAAAAAUUAAAUAAUCUGUGUUUAUUCUGUAAGAGGGCCUUGACGGAUACAGGUAGACUGGAACAGACUAUUAAAAAUGCUUAUGGAAUAAGCGGAUACACUGUAAAAUAAUGAUAGCAAAAGGAAAAGUACUUUGGUUUUGCAAGCCAUUCAUGUUUUAUUUUGUUAUUUUAAGGUAACAAACAUAUAUGUUAAUUUGACAUUAAUGCUGCAUAUUUUACAGUGUAUGGAUAAAAAUGAUAUAAAAAAUAAAAAAUAAAUAAACAGAGCAUGAAACAAAAGUGUUAUAAAGUGGAUAGGGGUCUGCAAGGGCAGAAAUAAUUUUUAUGAUAACAGCUCUUUAUAUAUAUUUAUAUAAUAGAGGUCUGAACGGAUAAAAUAUUAUUCUGUGGAUACCGCCCUAAUGCAUGAUAAAAAGUUUGUGUGAGUAAAAGUGGAAAGGAUCCUCAACAGUGAAAAACAAGUGGUGUCAUGUUUUAAAGUGUGAAUGACUGGGUGUAUUUUAUAAAUAGAGUGAGUGCAGGCCUGACUGAGUGCUGUGGAUGAAAGGAGCUAGCAGUGAAGUGAAAUACCGGUUAAUAUAAGUAAAAUAAUAAUAAUGAUAUAUUAUUUAUAUAAUAAAGUAAUAAGAGAUUAUAGGUAAAACUAUAAGUAAAUGGUAUAUAUAGGUUGAAAGGAGGUUUUUACUAAAGGAAAAAAUUGUAUUACUUGACAAAUGAAACAAAUUGAAUUGAAAGAGAAACAUUAAUUAAGUAAGGAACUGCUUGAAAAACAUUUGCAGUGUAGAAAAAGUAAUAUUGGAGAGAAAAUGGUUGACGUUUACUUAGCUUGAAAGUUAACUGGAAUAAAAGUGUUUUUAUUUGUUAAUUUUCUAAUGUUAAAAAGUUAAAAAAUUGCUAAAUAUGAUAGAAAAGAUUGAAUGGAGAAGUAACAGGUGUAGUGAAAAGUCAUAGUUGUUAUUCUUGUGGAAAUAUCUAUUGGGCAGAGAUCUAAUAAAGAAUGUGUCUAAGAAAUUGUCAUGAAGGGAACAUUUGAUGUUGCAAUGUGUAAAGAAAUGGAUAUUGUAAAUAAAUCUAUAGUAAAUCAAAAGAAAGAAAAGAAGGAUGGAUUUGAAGAAAAAAGCAUUGGCAUAAUUAAUGAAUUAAGGGGAACAUAUAUAUGAUAGAAUGUUAAAGGAAGUUGAUAAUGGAACAAAAUAAAGUGUUAAUCUAUAUUUAUCAUGCAUACUGUAGAAGGUUGAUUUCCAAUACUCAAGGGCACUGUGGAAAUUAAAGGUAAAAUGUAAAUGAAAUGAUCGGUAGAUAUAAAAUAGGAAAAUUAAACAGGUUUGGGAGUAAAUCUUACAAAUGAGGAAAGAUACUAAAUGAAAGAAAUUUAAAGUAUUAUCAGAAAGAGUAUAAGAGUGUAGAGUAAAAAGACAAGAGGCAUUGUUACACAAAGAGGUGAAAAAGAGGUAAGAAGAUAUACAUAAGAAAGAAAAAUAAGAAAAACAUUAAAAAGAAUUAAUAAAGUAAAAUAAGGAGAGAGUAGAGAGGGAGAGUAAAAAGGAGGUGUUAUCUGAUGGAGAAAUGUGGAUAUGGGGAAAAAGAUAAAGGUUGGCUUAGGCCAUUGGCCUUACAAUUUCUUAGUUUAAUGAAGGUUUUAAGGACCUUGGGAGGCUGAUCACUUACCCUCAGGCAUUCAUGGGGUUGGGAAAAGGACUAAGUUGUGGCAAUGGAGAAAUGAAAGAAACCUUUGACCGGUGGACUAACGUUACAUGAGGAGGGACUAUUUUUGAACACAUCAUAGCAGUGUGGCAGCCACUGCUUGGACUCUAAAGCACAGAGAGAAAACUGGGAGACACAGAGAAUCCAGUUUUGUUCAGAGACAAUAAAAAAGAGACUGAGGGAAAUCCAGAAGGAGACCCUGGAAUGAUCACACUGUUUUGAAAUGCAAAGUGAAUAACAGUGAUGACUCUUGUGUUCAGCUACUUUCAGCAAUUUCUCCAAAAGCAAACCAGAAUCCUGUACCCAUCAUAAAUGACUUUGCAGCAUCACCAUCCCAGAAAGAAAACAACUUGAACUGGGAGAGACAAAGAAAACAUGCUGAGGACUACAAAAAACCUGGCCACGCCAAGAGAGACUUUCGCUAUAUCCAUGUACCAGCUCUGUGAGUGAAGGGGGGAGGGUGACAGCAGCCUUUCAAAGUCCAGUUUAUGGUCCAGUUGUAAGAUUUGUUAAGAAUAUGAUUCUCUGGACAAGUAUUGCUAAUUCAAUGUAUGUCUAUAAACAAUAAACAAAACCAUGACCAUAUCUAUUCUCAUAUCAAAAUCACACUCCUGUUUACUGGUUAGGAAGAUAUGCAUAAUUUGAAUUAAGCCAUUGGAUUUAGUGUUCUCCAGAAGGGUACAAGUAUAUUAAAGUGAUAUUAACUGAAUCAAAGCAAAUGUAUAUUAGUGUAAUAAAUAGUGAUGUACAACAAACAAUGAAUAAAUUGGAAAAUGUAUUGAAGCACAAAUUUCUAAUGCAAAGUUAUCAAAGUGGGAACUUCAGUGUAUUAUAAUAUGAUCAUGAGAAAGAUAUUCAACUUAAAAAGUGGAAAAAAUAAAAUAUAGGACAAGAAAUUGACAUACCAUCACAGGAAGGUAAAGAAGAAGUAGUUAAGAGUAUGGUUGAAAAUCAGUUAAUAGAAUAAUGACUUAAUGUAACUGAUUUAUUUCCACAGGUCUCUUGUAUACUGGAAAAGAUUGGGAAGAAAAGGAUUUAUGGGAUAUGAUGAAAACAAAAAGCUAUACAAAGCCAGGAGGAUAAAUCCAUUAUGCUUAGGAAUAACAUUAGACUUAUGUGCUAAAGUAAAAAUAAUUUGUAAAUGCAAAGAAUAAAUACAGAUGAUAACAACAUGCAAGAUAAAGAAGAUGUAUUAAUUGUUAAAAGAUGUAGAGAACAAAGUAAUAAAUGAAGUAUCCAAUUAAUGACAUUGUAAGACUAACCAGUUGAUAUCCAGAUCCACAUUGCUAACAAAUGUUUCCCAGAUGACAAAUAUUGUAAUUGAUCUUUGCUUUAUAUAUUUAAGUAUUCAAACAGAAGAAAUAUUUGUAUGUUUUUAUGAAAUUAAACAAUAUACAAUUUGGUAUAGGAACAAAGAGGCUUUCAAAAUAAUGAGGGAAUAUAUAUUCAAUGUACUGGACAAGUGGGGUUAAUUUCUGCUACAAUAUUAUUAAAUUAAUUGGCAAUCAUAAAAGAUUAAACUUAUAUAAAAAUGAAUGAUAAUUUUAUUAAUGGUAACAACACAGCGGAUUUGGAAGCUAAAGAAGCCUCAGAAUGCCAUACAGAAGUAGUGCUUCUAUAGUGUUAAUACAAAAGCCUUACUUAGAAGAUAGAAGGAAAAAAAGAACACGCUGGAUGUUAGGAAUAUUUUGUGGCACCUAAAGGGGGACAAAGAAAGACAUUCAAGACAUCUAAUGUACACAUUGGGGAUAAAUCAUUCUAUUGUACAGUAAAAUGUUACCUUUCCAGAUGGGUGGUUUUAAUUUCAAAUUAAAAACAGGUAUUAAAGAACAAAUUAAAAUUAAAGAUUAAAAAAAAAAAAAAAAAAAAAAA